AUGUCUUUUUUUUUGAAAGAUCCAGCUGAUUGCUGGCUUGUAUUGAUUAAUAGCAGGGAGCAGGUGACAAAAACAUCAAGUGCGAGUAGUGAUCCGAGGAUCAAAGGGAGAAAAACAAAAGAUACAGGGCAGGUGUUAUGGCUAUUGUCUCAGGGCAAGGAGUGCUCCAAAAAUGUUGCUCCUGCUUGUCGCCAAAAUUCUAGCGUUCGUUGGACGGCUGUUGUGAUGCUAUCUCUCGUCGCCAUCUUGCCUCCGAAGGUGCUCUCGUUUCGAGCCUUCCAAAUCCCAGAGAGGAUUAGGAUGAUUGUUGUCUUGAUGGCUUUUUUGUGCUCGGGCCGCGCUGCACCGAUCAUUUCAGCGAUGAUGGCCGUCGGCUUAGUCUUGCUUUGCCACCGCAGAGGGUGGAGUGAGCUGCAUCCCCCUCUCGCCGCUGCAGUCGUCCAGACUUCAAUCGACAGUGGGCAUUGCCAGAACAAGUGCAUGGAUGACUCCAAGUUCCGGACGCAUAGCUGA
This 513-nucleotide ribosomal RNA is filed under the name Triticum aestivum (bread wheat). Its description in RNAcentral is "partial small subunit ribosomal RNA". Lineage: Eukaryota; Viridiplantae; Streptophyta; Magnoliopsida; Poales; Poaceae. The record is from RNAcentral.